Long non-coding RNA from Electrophorus electricus (electric eel), 188 nucleotides. RefSeq lists it as uncharacterized. Lineage: Eukaryota; Metazoa; Chordata; Actinopteri; Gymnotiformes; Gymnotidae. The record is from RefSeq and is a predicted model, not a curated record.
AGCGCCCUUCUCUACUGAAGAUGGAGAGAUUUGAGAAGAAGGCACUUGAGAGAAAAGCAUCAGAGCUGGAGGAUGAGCUCAAGGUUCUGAUUGACCUGCGUGCCGAUAACCAGCGUCUGAAAGAUGAGAACGCCUCCCUCAUCCGCGUCAUCAGCAAGAUCUCCAGAUGAGCCCUAUAUGUGCCGCUA